This 32-nucleotide ribosomal RNA is filed under the name Morchella semilibera. RNAcentral describes it as "partial 18S ribosomal RNA". The record is from RNAcentral. Lineage: Eukaryota; Fungi; Ascomycota; Pezizomycetes; Pezizales; Morchellaceae. RNAcentral also lists the same sequence under 1 other name.
CCGUAGGUGAACCUGCGGAAGGAUCAUUACCA